This 413-nucleotide ribosomal RNA is filed under the name Toxoplasma gondii ME49. Its description in RNAcentral is "Toxoplasma gondii rRNA TGME49_457830". Lineage: Eukaryota; Apicomplexa; Conoidasida; Eucoccidiorida; Sarcocystidae. The record is from RNAcentral.
UUCAGGCACUUUUAACUCUCUUUCCAAAGAACUUUUCAUCUUUCCCUCACGGUACUUGUUUGCUAUCGGUCUCGCGCCAGUACUUAGCUUUAUGUGAAACCUACCACACAUUUUGCGCUCGAAUCCCGAUGAACGCGACUCUAUAAAAGCGUACCGUACGUGGAACAAAAAACGCAGGGGAAGGACGGGAUUCUCACCCUCUAUGAUGUUCUUUCCCAAGAAACUUAACCCUGCGCUUCCACUGGUAACGCCUCUCGAGGCUACAAGUCAACAGCUCGGAAAGAGCAGUUGAUUUCCACUUUGAGCUGAUCCCGGUUCACUCGCCGUUACUAAGGGAAUCAUAGUUAUUUUCUUCUCCUCCGCUUAAUAAUAUGCUUAAGUUCAGCGGGUAACCUCGCCUGAUUUCAGGUCUG